GAUGAACGCUAGCUACAGGCUUAACACAUGCAAGUCGAGGGGUAACGAGAGGAAAGCUUGCUUUCCUUGUCGACGACCGGCGCACGGGUGAGUAACGCGUAUCCAACCUGCCCCCAACUAGGGAAUAACCUUGCGAAAGUAAGACUAAUACCCUAUAAUUUCCUCAGAUGUCAUCUGACGAGGAAUCAAGAUUUAUCGGUGGUGGAUGGGGAUGCGUCUGAUUAGCUUGUUGGCGGGGAACGGCCCACCAAGGCAACGAUCAGUAGGGGUUCUGGGAGCAAGGUCCCCCUCAUUGGAACUGAGACACGGGCCAAACUCCUACGGGAGGAAGCAGUGAGGAAUAUUGAUCAAUGGGCGGAAGCCUGAACCAGACAAGUAGCGUGCAGGAUGACGGCCCUAUGGGUUGUAAACUGCUUUUAUACAGGAAUAAAGUUAGCCACGUGUGGUUAUUUGUAGGUACUGUAUGAAUAAGGACCGGCUAAUUCCGUGCCAGCCGCCGCCGUAA
This 505-nucleotide ribosomal RNA is filed under the name uncultured bacterium. Its description in RNAcentral is "partial 16S ribosomal RNA". It matches the Rfam family "Bacterial small subunit ribosomal RNA", at positions 28 to 523 of the family's 1533-position model. The record is from RNAcentral.